RNAcentral lists this ribosomal RNA (301 nucleotides) under uncultured bacterium. Its description in RNAcentral is "partial 16S ribosomal RNA". It matches the Rfam family "Bacterial small subunit ribosomal RNA", at positions 509 to 807 of the family's 1533-position model. The record is from RNAcentral.
CAGCAGCCACGGGAAUACAGAGGGUGCGAGCGUUAAUCGGAUUUACUGGGCGUAAAGCGUGCGUAGGCGGCUUCUUAAGUCGGAUGUGAAAUCCCUGAGCUUAACUUAGGAAUUGCAUUCGAUACUGGGAAGCUAGAGUAUGGGAGAGGAUGGUAGAAUUCCAGGUGUAGCAGUGAAAUGCGUAGAGAUGUGGAGGAAUACCGAUGGCGAAGGCAGCCCCCUGGGCCAAUACUGACGCUCAUGCACGAAAGCGUGGGGAGCAAACAGGAUUAGAUACCCCCGUAGUCCCUGUCUCUUAUAC